RNAcentral lists this ribosomal RNA (433 nucleotides) under Ornithodoros merionesi. RNAcentral's name for it is "partial 16S ribosomal RNA". Lineage: Eukaryota; Metazoa; Arthropoda; Arachnida; Ixodida; Argasidae. The record is from RNAcentral.
UUGCUGUGGUAUUAUGACUAUACAAAGGUAUUGUAAUAAGACUUUAAAUGGGUGCUAAGAGAAUGGUUUAACAAGGAUUGACUUUCUUGACUCUUUAAAUAAAAGUUGAUUUAAAAAUGAAAAAGUUUUUAUUACAUUUUGGGACAAGAAGACCCUAUGAAUUUUGCUUUACAAGUUUUUGUAAAUAUUUAUAAUUAUAAAUAAGAUUUUUAAGGUUAGUUGGGGUGAUUUUAAAAGAUUGUUGAUCUUUUUAAGGAAUUAUAAAGUAGAUCCAUUAAUAAUGGAUGUUUGGGAAAAUACUCUAGGGAUAACAGCGUAAUAACUUUGGAUAGAUCUUAUAGAUAAAGUAGUUUGCGACCUCGAUGUUGGAUUAAGAUUCUUUUGAGAUGAAGAAGUCUGGAAAGAAGGCUCAACUUUUAAAGUCUUACUUGAU